Molecule: non-coding RNA, 2431 nt
Organism: Myodes glareolus (Bank vole)
Lineage: Eukaryota; Metazoa; Chordata; Mammalia; Rodentia; Cricetidae
Source: RefSeq, a predicted model, not a curated record
AAAGUCUUCCUCUUAAAAACUUGGUGGAUGCCAUAAUUUAUAAAGCUAAUGAUAAUGAUGACUACACUUUGGAAAACUAUUUCUUACUGUGUGUAGAAAUUCACUAUAGUAAAAUGUUCUUUGGAACAGAAUUUUAAGGCUACCUGGCAUUAAAUCAGGCCACAAUAAUAUCAAUAUGCUGUGAUAUUUGAACUAGGUCUUACAAGAAAUAAAAAUCUAUGUGUUUGGACACAAAGAGUUCUGGCUCCAAGAAGGACUCAAUAGAGUACCCUCUGUCUUUAUGAAACUUUUUUAUCUGGCACAUUUAUGCCCCCAGUAAAUGUGUUCAUCACUUUCCAAUUGUUAUUCAAGCUCUACAGUGUUGUUCUAGAAAACAUAAUCUUAAACCCUGUGAUAGUAUCAAUCAUCAACUUGACUAGAUCCAGACUCCCUAGGAGACAAACCUCUGGGCUUGUCUAUGAUAGAUUAUCUAUAUUGGAUUAAUUGAGUUGGAAAGACUUACCCUAAAUGUAAGUGACUCUACUCUGUGGGUUGGGGUGCUAAAAGGCAUAAAACCAAGCAAGAGAUCUUGGCAUGAACAUUCAUGUCUCUGCCUCCUGACUGUGGAAACAGUGUGACCAGCUGCCUCCAGCUCCUAUGGCCAUGUUUCCUACAUGAAACAUGACGGACUGCACCCUCAAACUGUGAGCUCAGUUAAACCCUUCCUUCCUUAAGUUACAGUUGACAGGUAUCUACCAACCCAAUGAGAGUAGUUACUGAUCCCGUCUCUAUCUCUUUGGCUCCUUCUCCAAACUAGCAUCCCUUGCUUCUUUGGGAUUCUUUAGAUUAAAGUUUUCAUGCUACUAUACCAGACUAAAAUGGCCCAUUCUUCUCCCCUCUUCUCCUAAUCCUAUAGGUUCCUAUUUUUUUUUUAAGACCUAGUUCUGACAUCACUUCAAAUCAGAGCAUUUUAUUAAGAGAGCCAUCUCUCCAGUUCUGUUUCCCUUGGCUAAGGAAACAGAAACCUGUUAAGUAAUGAUCACAACAGUAUAGUUAUCAUGGAAGUUCAGGCCCUCCCUCUCAAGUAACUAGCAACAAAGAACUAAUUAUUUUAUGGGACAUCUUUUCAGUUGACCAUUAUGUAGUCAAUUAACUAAGUCAUUUUAUAUGUACUACUAAAAAUAAUUUUUAAAAGCUAGCUUAAGGGAAAACUAAGGCAUAUAAUUUUGCAUUUGUAUAAAAUAACAAUGUAAGGAAGUAUAUAUUGUUUUUUCUUUUUCCUAUAUAUAUCAGUUCCUAUGUAUAUAAAUGCUACUAUCUUAACCUUUAUAUUUUCCAGAGACAUGCUGUGAUAUGUACACACAUAGGAGUGCAUACAUGGCAAGGCUGAAAAAUGGCUGUGAGCACCAGAGAUUAUUAAUGGGACGGCAACGGAUAUAAACAAACAAGUUCUGAAGUGGUCCUUAUCCUCCCCCAGCAUCUAACCCUCCUCACCCAUUAAUCAGCUCCUGACAUGAGUGAGUUUCCAAAUGCAGUCAAAAAGCCCAUACAGAGGUUCCAGGGAGGGAAUAGUUCGGGGAUUUCUUCCUCUCACCCUACGAUGUAUUAUCUAUUUGUUCGCGGUUCUGCGGUUGAGGAAGUUGAUCGAGGACAAGCUACACGAUGAUCCUCAGUUUUCUGUGAGAGUGACUAUCUUCGUUACUGUUCUGUGGCUGUGAAGAGACUCCGUGACCCAGGCAACUGAUAAAAGCAUUGGAGGCUUGUCUACAGUUUCAGAGGGUGACUUCCAUAACCACAUGGUCCUCAGUGGACAGGGAGACACCCAGCCACACUGAAAGGCAAGCAAACUCCGCUAUUGAUUCUUCCCGAUCUCAGCGGGAUGUGGUGACACGUACCAGUAAUCUUAGCACUUGGGAGGCUGAGUAGGACCCACUGUGCCUUGCUCUACCGAGAACUCACUCUCGUGUGCUGGUGCUUUUAGCUUUUAGCUUAGCCUAUGUGAGAUUUCUUGGCAGGAAUCUUCUCUUGGCUAAACCGUUCUGCUUCUCGUGAAGGAGCAAGUGUUUUGUAAGCAGUUCUUUGGUAUCCUGAGGCUUGGCACUGCACGACAUACUUGGUUGAAGACAGUCCAAAAGAACACAGUGGCUUGGACCGUCCAAGGAUCAGCUUCAGGAAAGGAGAAGAGCAGCACUCGGACCCAAGAAUUCUGAAAUUCUCCUGAGGUCAGCAUCACUAUGGAGACACCCUUCACUCUCCUCAGCAAUAAGGCAGCGACGUGGUUCUAUUUGCAGAGAUAUUACAACAGUGGUGGCGGUAGUUGUGGUGGGGAGUCUUCAUUCUACAGCCACGGAUUGUCUCAGACUCAGUCUCCCUGCCUCAGCCUGGAGAGCAUCACCAAUGCCUGGUUACUAUAGUCGUGUUCUUAAAAUAAAGAUUUUACAAGAUAUUUUAA